Long non-coding RNA from Gasterosteus aculeatus aculeatus (three-spined stickleback), 913 nucleotides. Lineage: Eukaryota; Metazoa; Chordata; Actinopteri; Perciformes; Gasterosteidae. The record is from Ensembl.
GUACCCGAUGCCCCGGGUCCACGAACUUCUGGACCGAUUGGGCACCGUGCAUUUUUUUUACGACACUGGGCACCGGGUGCUGCGUCCGCAUUCUGCGUAUGCUGCUGCCUACCUGGAUGACGUCAUCAUACACAGCACCACAUGGGCGGAGCAUGUGCAGCGGGUGGGCGCGGUGCUGGAGUCCCUGAGGCAGGCCGGGCUCACCGCCAACCCGGGGAAAUGGGCAGUAGGACGGAGGGAGGUACGGUAUCUGGGGUACCACUUGGGCGGCGGGAGGGUGCGCCCUCAGGUGGACAAAAGCGCAGCCAACGCAGCCUGCCCGUGGCCCAAGACGAAAAAAGAGACUGAUGCGUCGAACAAAGGGCCGGGGGCCGUUUUGUCCCAGCAGGUGCAGGGGUGGACCGCCCGGUCCUCUAGAUCAGCCGGAAACUGUCGGAGAGAGAGGCCAGUGAGCAGGACCUGGAGAGCGAGUCUCGGGAGCAGACGCUGAGGGGCAAGGCCGAGGAGCAGAUGCGAGGAGCAGAGCCGAGGGAGACAAACCAACGGAAACCUGCUCACUGCAAGAAAAGAAAAUAAAACUGCCCAGAAGAACCGUGUGUCCUUAAAGCAAACCCCGAAGCUGGUAGCUCGAGCGUGCCACUAAUACGUAUUUGUUGCAUGAUAGUCGUGACUAGUUUCGACUAGUCACCUUGAACGCACCAGAAGACGUCAUGUGCUCAGAGCCGUGGACACUGCCUACCGCACCAACUCUAACCCAAUCACCAUGAAAGAACUCUGUUAGCCCAAUAGGAUGGUUAGCACCCCCUUUUUGAUUGUCUAUAUAUGUACGUGUACCUCCCCUUGUUCGGGAUUCGUGGGUGGAACCGGUAGACAGUUAACUACGUUGUAGUCAAAGGAGUCGCUGUGGUCUGUG